Erpetoichthys calabaricus (reedfish) is the source of this 1836-nucleotide long non-coding RNA. RefSeq lists it as uncharacterized. NCBI's taxonomy places the organism in Eukaryota, Metazoa, Chordata, Cladistia, Polypteriformes, Polypteridae. The transcript is spliced from 2 exons. The record is from RefSeq and is a predicted model, not a curated record.
UUCUAAAACUCCAGCAGUUCAGUCACUCCCAGGUAAUCAAACAAGGCAUGAGCUGGGAAAACUUAGUGAACGUUCUGCAACGGUGGGGGAUGGAUUAGCCGGCUGCUCGCUGCUCCUCUUAAUCGGCACAUUUAGAAGACAAAAGAGAGGUGAGAACGGUUUUAAGGUGGGCCGGAUCUACGAGUUUUUUCGUAGACUCUGGUAAUUCCAGUGUUAAAUCUCUUCACUAGACCAUCAGUUUGAGGAUGAUACACUGUGGUCUUUAGAUGCUUUAUUUUCAGUAAUCUGGCCAUUUCCCUGAAUGUCUGCGAAGUGAAAGGCAUCCCUUGGUCCAUUAGGACUUCUUUAGGGAUGCCACUCCUGCAAAGACCCCUACCAAUUCCCAUGCAGUAGCUUUAGAAGUGGCUGAGCACAACAGAACAGCUUUGGGAUACUGGGUAGCAUAAUCUACUAGUACUAACAUAUAUUUGUGUCCUCUAGCUGAGGGUUCCAGGGGUCCUAUUAAGUCGACCCCAGUCCUUUCAAACGGAACAUCAAUUAGGGGAAGACGAACAAGAGGAGCAUGGUCCCUCGUAGGAAUUUGUUGCAACUGACACUCUGGGUAGGACGUGCAAAAGUGGCGAACCUCCUCAUUAAUUCCCGGCCAAUAAAAUUGAAGCUUAAUCCACUCCAAAGUUUUCUCGGUACCCAGAUGGCCUCCUAGGAACUGGGUGUGUCCUAACUCAAAAACCUGCUGCCGGAAGUGAUGUCAUUAGGACCUGCACCAGAAGUGACGUCAUCAGGCCCAGAAACGGCAGUGAUGUAAUCAGGCCCAGAAAUGGAAGUGACAUCAUCAGGGCUGGAAACAGAAGUGGCAUCUUCAGAAUCAGGUGGAAUUUCCCAUGAUAGGUCUGCAGUGGAAAGACAGAAAGAGUCAGUACACUCUGCCACCCCCUGGUCUGGCAUGGAAUUACCCUCAUUCAGGCCCUUUAACUGCCUCCCAUGCGCACGUGUGUAACAGCGCAAAUGUGUGCCCUGUAGUGGACUGGUCCUAACUUCACCCAGUGCUUCCAGACCUCCAUCAUGAUUAUUGAAAUAAAUGUUUUAAAAUUAUUUUUGUUAUUGUUUAUUUGGCAGAUGCCUAUGUUCAAAGUGACUUACAAAAAUGAUAAAAUAUACAUAAUAAAGAAAUGUGCCUGUGCUCUGCGCUGGUUAUCUCAGAGGAGCUACAUAAGAGUAAGUUGUACAGAACAUAUGUAAUUGCUGUAUGUGCAAAGGUGAAGCUGCUGAAGUGCACACCACAAUGUUGCUGACCCAGUGCCUACCUUUUGACUCAUUGAGUGACUCUGAGCAAGUCACUUACCCAACCUGCACUCACCUGAUUAGUAAAAUAAUUGUAAUAUUGUAUUGAAAAAGAAAGGAAAAUAAUCUAGAUUAAGAGUUCAUUAUAUUACUACUUCUAUAUAAUAAAACAUCCCCAGUAUUUUCCAAUUAUUAAUAACUAACAGCAGCACCCAACAUGGCAAAAGGUAAGUCAUUUUAAGGCAGAACUAUUUCUCUUUCAUAAAUGGUGUUUCUUAAAGUAUACCCUUUGUUUUGUUUUUGUUUUUUUUUUGUUUCAAUGCUCCAAAUCUGGGAAAAUGCAUUGUCAUUAAAACUCAACAUAAUAAAAAUACUCCCCACCCUUUUUCCCAAAGGUACCCCGACAGUCAAAAUUGUGGGUUCCAAAGUAGCCUAAUGUCUCUUCCUGAAAAAGUGUGAUGUGUGUGAAAUUUUCUUGAGGGUGUGGAAUUUUAAAAAACAACAACCACACAUACUCAAAUCAAUAUAUAAGAUGUAUAGUUAUUCUAAUAUAUA